This 953-nucleotide ribosomal RNA is filed under the name Basidiobolus sp. RNAcentral describes it as "partial large subunit ribosomal RNA". It matches the Rfam family "Eukaryotic large subunit ribosomal RNA", at positions 98 to 897 of the family's 3401-position model. The record is from RNAcentral. Lineage: Eukaryota; Fungi; Basidiobolomycota; Basidiobolomycetes; Basidiobolales; Basidiobolaceae.
GCGGGAAGAGCUCAAAUUUAAAAUCUGCAAGGUUCAACCUUGCCGAAUUGUAGUUUGAAGAAGUGUUUUCCGCGGCGGCUGCAGUACAAAUCCUUUGGAACAGGGUAUCAGAGAGGGUGAGAAUCCCGUCUUUGACUGCAGACUAGUUGCACUGUGAUACACUUUCUAAGAGUCGAGUUGUUUGGGAAUGCAGCUCAAAAUGGGUGGUAAAUUUCAUCUAAAGCUAAAUAUUGGCAAGAGACCGAUAGCGAACAAGUACCGUGAGGGAAAGAUGAAAAGAACUUUGAAAAGAGAGUUAAAUAGUACGUGAAAUUGUUAAAAGGGAAACGCUUGAAGUCAGUGUUGCCGGCUGAAAAUCAGCUUCGUGCGGAUGGCUUGCUGCGGUGGAGGGAGUGUCAAAACCCCUUGCCGUAGUACAGCUAGCCGGACGGAGUGCACUUUUCAGUCGACAGGUCAACAUCAAUUUCAGCCGGUGGAAAAAAGCCAGUGGAAUGUAGGUUGGAGCAAUCCGACUGUUAUAGCCACAGGUGUAUACACCGGCGGGGAUUGAGGACAGCAGUGCAGGCCACUAUGGCGGAAGCGCCGCACUUUUCUCCGGGGGGCACGUCAAGACAGCAUGCUGACUUGGUGUGUACACUCUUGGGAACGGGGCGGAUGUACUUCUCCUGCACUAAGGAUGUUGACGAAAUGGCUUUAAACGACCCGUCUUGAAACACGGACCAAGGAGUCUAACAAAUAUGCGAGUAUUUGGGUGGCAAACCCAUAUGCGCAAUGAAAGUGAAUGUAGGUGGGAUCCCCUUCGCGGGGGAGCACCAUCGACCGAUCUGGAUUUUUUAAAGAUAGAUUUGAGUAAGAGCAUAUCUGUUGGGACCCGAAAGAUGGUGAACUAUGCCUGAAUAGGGUGAAUCCAGAGGAAACUCUGGUGGAGGCUCGUAGCGAUUCUGACGUGCAAA